RNAcentral lists this ribosomal RNA (406 nucleotides) under uncultured bacterium. RNAcentral describes it as "partial 16S ribosomal RNA". It matches the Rfam family "Bacterial small subunit ribosomal RNA", at positions 30 to 526 of the family's 1533-position model. The record is from RNAcentral.
AUUGAACGCUGGCGGCAGGCCUAACACAUGCAAGUCGAACGAGUGGCGGACGGGUGAGUAAUGUCUGGGAAACUGCCUGAUGGCGGGGGAUAACUACUGGAAACGGUAGCUAAUACCGCAUACCAUCAGAUGUGCCCAGAUGGGCUUAGCUAGUUGAUGGGGUAACGGCUCACCAAGGCGACGAUCCCUAGCUGGUCUGAGAGGAUGACCAGCCACACUGGACGAAAGACACGGUCCAGACUCCUGCGGGAGGCAGCAGGGGGAGAUAUUGCACGAUGGGCGCAAGCCUGAUGCGGCCGUGCCGCGUGUAUGACGAAGGCCUUCGGGUUGUAAAGUACUUUCAGCGGGUAGGCGUUAACCGCAGAAGAAGCGCCGGAUAACUCCGUGCAAGCAGCCGCGGUAAUUC